GUCAGGUUUUCAAAUUGCAAAUACUCUUUUGUCAAAGUACUUUCUCUGCUUGACAUCUCCCUGAUGCCUACCUCCCUGUGCACAGAGGACAUUCAGACAUUAAAGAGGCCUUUGCAGAGAGAGGGUUCAAGAAUCAGCACUUACUUAGGCAUGCACAUAUGCAGAAGCUGCUGCCACCAGCCUGUGUGUCCACAUUCAUACAAGUCCUCAUCUAAAGCAAAAUUUUGGGUCUUGAUGUAGGUUAACUACUGACUGUGUUGGAAUUGAAAGAGCCAAGGGAAAAGCAGACAAAGCAGACCAAGGAGAGAUUGAGGUCACACACUUGCUCGGUCUGCAAGGAAAUUUACAGGAGACCUGGAGGAGAGUCAACAGCCAUUUGGUGCCAGAACCCUCCUAUUGGCUUUUUGGAAAGGGAAGGUUGGAAUGCACUUUUCUGGAAUAAUAUCUGGCUGUGGAUUUCACUUCUAUUAAAGACACUCACUAGAAUCCUUUAAAAGAUGUCAGUGGGAAAAUGCUGACAAAAUGAUGACUUCACAGAUAAUAUUUGAAAACAUUAAAAUGAUAAAUUUUCCUACUUAAAAAUGUGCAUUCCCUAUGAACACAUUCCAUAGUAAGGAAACUGAAAUCAUCAAAUGAUGUAAUAAUUUUGGAAGGCUACAGAAUAACAUGAUCGUGAGGUAUUAUAUUUUUCAUAUGGGCAUUUAAAAUUAAUAUGUCAAGCAUUUUAGUAUCUUGUCAUUCUUCUCAGAAACUAAAAACUUGAGGUAUUAGAAGAUUAAGUGGCUGGGCACAGUGCUGCACC
Molecule: long non-coding RNA, 802 nt
Filed under: Marmota monax (woodchuck)
Lineage: Eukaryota; Metazoa; Chordata; Mammalia; Rodentia; Sciuridae
Source: RNAcentral